This is a long non-coding RNA of Manacus vitellinus (golden-collared manakin), 1581 nucleotides long. NCBI's taxonomy places the organism in Eukaryota, Metazoa, Chordata, Aves, Passeriformes, Pipridae. The record is from Ensembl.
GCGAAUGGCCAGUCCGGGAUGAACACCGGCGAAAGGGGAAAGCACCCUUGUUCGUGUUUUUAAAGAAUUCUAAUAUAAGAAGUCUUCACAUGUAAAACGUCAGGCACACCUGUGCAGCUGCAGCCCGUUACAACUGUGAUGUUUUGGGGUUAUAAUGGCUACUGUGCUGCUCAUACGGAAAUUUAUGGAAAUACUGAAAUUUCAGGGUGAGCAGUUAUGUAGCUCAAGCUUUCCCCAAGCUUAUCUGUCAAAAGAAUGACCAUUGCCUUUUUAUUUUGUACUUUAAUCCCUGGAGUUGGACAGGAAAACUUGAGCCUUUUUCCCACUACGUUCAGCUCUGGCUCAAAGUCCUCAUACUGAGUCUUGCCUUGGAGUCAGGAUCAACAAUAACUUCCUCCAGAUCAUCAGUUAAUUGUGGCCAAAGGUCUGCAGCUGUGGCAAGAACCAAAAUCCCUCCUGGGCAACACUUCUCAACAGGCCAAGAUGCAGCAGAGGGAAGAGGUUUAGUGGCACAUGGAACACACCAGAGCUUCAUAAACAUCAAGGCAGACACUUCACUAACAACUACAAAUCAGUUCUAAUGGUGAGCAAUAGAAUGUCUCCUUUACACAUAAACAUUUUCCUAUAAUUAUAUCUCCAUCCGUAAUUAAACAUUACCAAAAGAAACAGACACUGUUUCUCUUUGAAACAUCACCUGUUCAUUCCAUUUUAAAAGUUGUAGAUAAUUUUUUUUACUAUAAGGUUUCCAAGCUCCCGAGACACUUGUGAGUUUUCACUUCCAGCAAAGAAAUUUAACUUUUAACCCAUUCAAACAAUUUUAGCUGGAAACCCUUGAGUUUUAAGCAAAAAAAAUGGUUGUUUUGGCAGGACUGAGGGGUGUAUUUUCUGCAAGGAAUCCCAUCAGGAGAUUUACCCCUGUCAGUACAAGAACUCGAAACUGAUGUGAAGAAAUCCUUUGGUUUGUGUCUUUCAACACUUCUGCUGGUUUAUUCAAGUUCUUUCUCAAGUUGCUGCACUGAUGGGAAUUAGGAACCCUCUGAAGAAAAUCCUGCAAGGACUUGCAAGUGCCCGUUGCACAAACAGACUGAAAAUGCUCCAGUUACGUACUGAGGCACAACCAAGCCCAGGCACAGGAGCAUCUGGCUGCACAAGGCCCUAAACUGAACUCAAAAGCACUCAAAAGCCAAAGGAAUUGUGGCAUUCCCAAUGAAGGUGGAUCCAAAAGCACCAACACUUACUGGUUCACCCUGGCUGCCAAACAGGUAUCUCUUUCACAGGGCAUUUCAAGGCCUCUGACCAUUCCUAAAGACAACAAGGGGUGUGGUUUUCCAGUCACUGUUUGUUCCCAGCAUCAGAGGACACAGCCACAGUGACAGGCACAGAGAGGAGAAGCAGCCCUCCCAAAAUCAGGCAGCUGAUCAGAGGCAGGCUGUCUGGCUCUCCACGUAGACCUACUGGACUUCCACAAGCAAUUUUCGACUAAUUCUUGUUCCCUCCCCAGCAGGGAACUGCUCUGUGUCAGAUAUGGCUCAGACUCAGUGCUUCAGACUCCAGCAGGAAAAUCUUGGCUUAAUUUAAAGU